Amphimedon queenslandica is the source of this 688-nucleotide long non-coding RNA. RefSeq lists it as uncharacterized. Lineage: Eukaryota; Metazoa; Porifera; Demospongiae; Haplosclerida; Niphatidae. The transcript is spliced from 5 exons. The record is from RefSeq and is a predicted model, not a curated record.
CACUCUAUUUUUGUAGUCUUUUGUGAGUCUCCUUGCCUCAAUGGUGGCACUUGUUCAGGUCCCCUCACAUGCACUUGUGACUAUACUUAUACAGGGAAUGAUUGCUCAAGAAGGUUUUGUCCAGCUGAUUAUUGCAAAGGACGUGGCACUUGUUUUCUUGAUGAGUUUGAAGAACCACCAGCUCCAUCCUGCAAUUGUGAUGGCUAUUUUGGUCCAAGAUGCAAUUUUAAGAGAAGUACUCUCUCCAAAAAUGAAACUGCUGGCCUGUCUGCUGGAGUGAUCAUUGCCGUAAUUAUUAUUAUCAUUAUUGUAGUGGCAGUGGUCAUUUUCUUUAUAAGCAUACGUAAAAGGAAAGCACAGCGUACCUUAGGGCAUUUUGAUUCAACUCUUAUUCAUGUCAACCCUGCUGUCACCCUGUCACCUCUUGAAAGUGGGAGCACUCCACCAAAGAAUACAAAUAGCACCAAUACUCUUGACAAUGACGACACAUCUAAUGUUUAAAGAAAUACACUUGGAGUGUAUAAUGACAAAUACAUGUAUAUAAAUGCAAGACAUUUUAUUGUUACUUAGUCGUAUAGAUUUUAUACACCAAUCACUGUAUUUUGCUUUAUUGUUACCCAUUAAUUAUCAUUAUUAAUGCUAAUUACUUAUUAUUGCUAAAUAUUGAUCCUUAUCACUUGUGUCUUUA